CCUACGGGUGGCAGCACGGGAAGCUUGGACAAUGGGCGAAAGCCUGAUCCAGCCAUGCCGCGUGUGUGAAGAAGGCCUUCGGGUUGUAAAGCACUUUCAGUGGGGAAGAAAGCCUUGGGGCUAAUACCCUCGAGGAAGGACAUCACCCACAGAAGAAGCACCGGCUAACUCCGUGCCAGCAGCCGCGGUAAUACGGAGGGUGCGAGCGUUAAUCGGAAUUACUGGGCGUAAAGCGCGCGUAGGCGGUCUGAUAAGCCGGUUGUGAAAGCCCCGGGCUCAACCUGGGAACGGCAUCCGGAACUGUCAGGCUAGAGUGCAGGAGAGGAAGGUAGAAUUCCCGGUGUAGCGGUGAAAUGCGUAGAGAUCGGGAGGAAUACCAGUGGCGAAGGCGGCCUUCUGGACUGACACUGACGCUGAGGUGCGAAAGCGUGGGUAGCAAACAGGAUUAGAUACCCGAGUAGUC
RNAcentral lists this ribosomal RNA (463 nucleotides) under Vreelandella stevensii. RNAcentral describes it as "partial 16S ribosomal RNA". It matches the Rfam family "Bacterial small subunit ribosomal RNA", at positions 338 to 795 of the family's 1533-position model. The record is from RNAcentral. Lineage: Bacteria; Pseudomonadati; Pseudomonadota; Gammaproteobacteria; Oceanospirillales; Halomonadaceae.